RNAcentral lists this ribosomal RNA (243 nucleotides) under uncultured bacterium. RNAcentral describes it as "partial 16S ribosomal RNA". It matches the Rfam family "Bacterial small subunit ribosomal RNA", at positions 115 to 353 of the family's 1533-position model. The record is from RNAcentral.
ACGUGGGUAACCUGCCUUAUAGUGGGGGAGUAGCCUUUCGAAAGGAAGAUUAAUACCGCAUAAGAUUGUAGUAUCGCAUGAUAUAGCAAUUAAAGGAGCAAUUCGCUAUAAGAUGGACCCGCGUCGCAUUAGCUAGUUGGUGAGGUAAUGGCUCACCAAGGCGACGAUGCGUAGCCGACCUGAGAGGGUGAACGGCCACAUUGGGACUGAGACACGGCCCAGACUCCUACGGGAGGCAGCAUG